GCGGAGNGAUCAUUAUCCAUCUCAACCAGGUGCGGUCGCGGCCCUCGGGGGUUCUCUC
This 58-nucleotide ribosomal RNA is filed under the name Paraphaeosphaeria sporulosa. Its description in RNAcentral is "partial 18S ribosomal RNA". Lineage: Eukaryota; Fungi; Ascomycota; Dothideomycetes; Pleosporales; Didymosphaeriaceae. The record is from RNAcentral.